Molecule: ribosomal RNA, 470 nt
Filed under: uncultured organism
Description: partial 16S ribosomal RNA
Rfam family: Bacterial small subunit ribosomal RNA
Source: RNAcentral
CACUCCUGCGGGAGGCAGCAGUGGGGAAUAUUGCACAAUGGGCGCAAGCCUGAUGCAGCCAUGCCGCGUGUAUGAAGAAGGCCUUCGGGUUGUAAAGUACUUUCAGCGGGGAGGAAGGCGAUAAGGUUAAUAACCUUGUCGAUUGACGUUACCCGCAGAAGAAGCACCGGCUAACUCCGUGCCAGCAGCCGCGGUAAUACGGAGGGUGCAAGCGUUAAUCGGAAUUACUGGGCGUAAAGCGCACGCAGGCGGUCUGUCAAGUCGGAUGUGAAAUCCCCGGGCUCAACCUGGGAACUGCAUUCGAAACUGGCAGGCUAGAGUCUUGUAGAGGGGGGUAGAAUUCCAGGUGUAGCGGUGAAAUGCGUAGAGAUCUGGAGGAAUACCGGUGGCGAAGGCGGCCCCCUGGACAAAGACUGACGCUCAGGUGCGAAAGCGUGGGGAGCAAACAGGAUUAGAUACCCCGGUAGUCC